Molecule: non-coding RNA, 28 nt
Filed under: Rattus norvegicus (Norway rat)
Lineage: Eukaryota; Metazoa; Chordata; Mammalia; Rodentia; Muridae
Source: RNAcentral
UCCAGAUGCAGUCCAGUUGAUGACCAAA